UAUACAUGCAAGUCGAACGGCAGCACAGCAGAGCUUGCUCUGUGGGUGGCGAGUGGCGGACGGGUGAGGAAUACAUGGGAAUCUGCCCAGUCGUGGGGGAUAACGUAGGGAAACUUACGCUAAUACCGCAUGCGCCCUUCGGGGGAAAGCCGGGGACCUUCGGGCCUGGCGCGAUUGGAUGAGCCCAUGUCGGAUUAGCUAGUUGGCGGGGUAAAGGCCCACCAAGGCGACGAUCCGUAGCUGGUCUGAGAGGAUGAUCAGCCACACUGGAACUGAGACACGGUCCAAACUCCUACGGGAGGCAGCAGUAGGGAAUAUUGGACAAUGGGCGCAAGCCUGAUCCAGCCAUGCCGCGUGUGUGAAGAAGGCCUUCGGGUUGUAAAGCACUUUUGUCCGGAAAGAAAAGCGCUGGGUUAACACCCUGGUGUCCUGACGGUACCGGAAAAAUAAGCACCGGCUAACUUCGUGCCAGCAGCCGCGGUAAUACGAAGGGUGCAAGCGUUACUCGGAAUUACUGGGCGUAAAGCGUGCGUAGGUGGUUUGUUAAGUCUGAUGUGAAAGCCCUGGGCUCAACCUGGGAAUGGCAUUGGAUACUGGCGAGCUAGAGUGCGGUAGAGGGUAGUGGAAUUCCCGGUGUAGCAGUGAAAUG
Molecule: ribosomal RNA, 649 nt
Filed under: uncultured bacterium
Lineage: Bacteria
Description: bacterial SSU rRNA
Rfam family: Bacterial small subunit ribosomal RNA
Source: RNAcentral